Long non-coding RNA from Heterocephalus glaber (naked mole-rat), 444 nucleotides. The record is from Ensembl. NCBI's taxonomy places the organism in Eukaryota, Metazoa, Chordata, Mammalia, Rodentia, Bathyergidae.
CUAAUUUGGAUGCUUUCAGUAAACUGCACCAGAGGUCCCCUUCCCCCAAGAGAGCUGAAUGACGCAGCCCUUGCCUCCACCGCAGAGCGCUGGACAGAGAAUUACACUGUAACUAUAGCUCUUUCUUCAGCGACCCAGCAGCUGCACCACAAAACAAACUUGAGAGUCUGAAGCUUCCAGGGCUCUGACUUACAAGGAAAGAAGAGCAAUAAGUGGAUUGUUUUACACAAUUUGAAAGAUUCUAGACUGCUGGAGUCCCAGUGCCACGUGGCUGACUCAGACCAGCCUGGCAGAGGAUUUGGGACCAAAGUCCGGAGAAGGGAAACGACAUGACACUGAAAGGUCACUCAGCUGCUUCCUAGAGAUCAGAGUGUGAAGUUCAAGUGUGAAAGCAGCAAGACCAGUCAGGGGGCUGCUGUGGGGGCCCAGGACAGAUGACACGGC